Molecule: ribosomal RNA, 297 nt
Filed under: uncultured bacterium
Lineage: Bacteria
Description: partial 16S ribosomal RNA
Rfam family: Bacterial small subunit ribosomal RNA
Source: RNAcentral
GAUGAACGCUAGCUACAGGCUUAACACAUGCAAGUCGAGGGGUUUGCUUCGGCAAACGACCGGCGCACGGGCGAGUAACGCGUAUCCAACCUGCCAUUCAUAUUGGGAUAGCCCUCCGAAAGGAGGAUUAAUACCGAAUAACAUAUUGUUGUUGCAUGAUAUCAAUAUGAAAGCUGAGGCGAUGAAUGAUGGGGAUGCGUUCCAUUAGGUAGUAGGCGGGGUAACGGCCCACCUAGCCAACGAUGGAUAGGGGUUCUGAGAGGAAGGUCCCCACACUGGAACUGAGACACGGUCCAG